UAUUUAAGAAGGUCGCAAGCAGAAAUCAGUCAGUCCUGAACGACCGUUCUGGGCUCCAUAACCAGCCAAGCGAAGUGAGCGAGGCAGGCCGACCUGAGUCGCGACGUGCACUGUUUUGAGGUGAUUCGUAAACUUAGGCAGGCCAACUCGAGACGAGACGCAAGGUGUACCGAAGUGAGACGCCCAUCCGGAGGAGGACUUCGCUGGGACAAAAUAGAAUAUUGAAUUAUUAUUUUGACUUAUUUUGUACAUAAUUUAGAAUUAAUAGAUUUGCUUUGUUUUCAA
RNAcentral lists this long non-coding RNA (285 nucleotides) under Diabrotica virgifera virgifera (western corn rootworm). RNAcentral's name for it is "uncharacterized LOC126880685". The record is from RNAcentral. Lineage: Eukaryota; Metazoa; Arthropoda; Insecta; Coleoptera; Chrysomelidae.